This 253-nucleotide ribosomal RNA is filed under the name uncultured bacterium. RNAcentral describes it as "partial 16S ribosomal RNA". It matches the Rfam family "Bacterial small subunit ribosomal RNA", at positions 524 to 776 of the family's 1533-position model. The record is from RNAcentral.
GACGUAGGGCGCGAGCGUUGUCCGGAUUUAUUGGGCGUAAAGAGCUCGUAGGCGGCUUGUCGCGUCGACCGUGAAAACUUGUGGCUCAACCACAAGCUGGCGGUCGAUACGGGCAGGCUGGAGUUCGGUAGGGGAGACUGGAAUUCCUGGUGUAGCAGUGAAAUGCGUAGAUAUCGAGAGGAACACCAGUGGCGAAGGCGAGUCCCUGGACAAGACCUGACACUGAGGCACGAAAGCCAGGGGAGCAAACAGG